Molecule: long non-coding RNA, 353 nt
Organism: Oncorhynchus keta (chum salmon)
Lineage: Eukaryota; Metazoa; Chordata; Actinopteri; Salmoniformes; Salmonidae
Exons: 2
Source: RefSeq, a predicted model, not a curated record
CAGCAACAACAGUCAAUCUGACAACAACCCUAAGGUGAGGCAGAGUAACUGCAUUAGACUUUUAAAAAAACACUUGUGUCUUCUGCAUGGAAAGAUUCUAAUAAUUAUGAACAUGAGUAUACAUGUGGAGAAAGAGGGAUGUUUAGUGGAAUCCUCAGUAAAAGGAAAAACCUCUCUGCACAUAGUGAACUCUCAGCCAGCAAUCACAGUCUGUCUAACAACAACAACCUUAAGGUGGCAGAGUUACUGCAAUUAGACUUCGACAAAACCACCUGGGUCAGAAAAGAUUGUCAUCAUUAUGCACAUGACAUAAGUAUAUAUGUUUAUACUCAUUAAAAUGGUUAUUCAAAUUA